ACGCUCGACACCUACGGGGGCAGCAGUAGGGAAUCUUCCACAAUGGGCGCAAGCCUGAUGGAGCAACACCGCGUGAGUGAAGAAGGGUUUCGGCUCGUAAAGCUCUGUUGUUGGAGAAGAACGUGCGUGAGAGUAACUGUUCACGCAGUGACGGUAUCCAACCAGAAAGUCACGGCUAACUACGUGCCCGCAGCCGCGGUAAUCUGAGCGGGCUGGCAAGGC
This 222-nucleotide ribosomal RNA is filed under the name uncultured bacterium. RNAcentral's name for it is "partial 16S ribosomal RNA". It matches the Rfam family "Bacterial small subunit ribosomal RNA", at positions 328 to 539 of the family's 1533-position model. The record is from RNAcentral.